GCAUAUAUAAGCACUAUAUUCAUAUCAAAAAUCUAAGCACUUAUUAUGUUGCUAUUUGUGACGCCUUUCUUAUUUUAGCAAGAAAAUAAUGGUCCCCUCAGAUUAGUAAGUUGUAACUUUCGCAACCAUUAAAAACAUAGAUAAUUAAAGAUAUCAACUAAUUUGCUGUUAACAUGAAAUAAACAAUGCUCCAAAUCAAUGUGUACCUGUCUUAUACCUUGUCAACAAAUUGAACUCGUUGACAUGUCCCCAUUUUUAUCUCCGUUGCUGCAGCUGUUUGGUCCAAUAUCUCCAUGUAUCGCACUUACUAAUCAAAAGAGAAAGUUUGUCCAUCUUCAUAGUUCAUACCGAGUAUCAAUCAAAAGAGAAAGCAUGCACUGGAGGACUCAACGUCGUUGUUCUUGAGGGCACAUAUAUCUGCAUAGCCAAAUUUCUAGCUAGUUAUCUAAGAUAGUAAAGUGACACUUGUACAAGGUAACAAAAAUCAAGCAGACAAGGAGACUCAAAAGAAAGCUCUGGCCAACCAGUGGUCCGUAC
This 537-nucleotide long non-coding RNA is filed under the name Hordeum vulgare. RNAcentral describes it as "long non-coding RNA (HVUL_LNC017152)". The record is from RNAcentral. Lineage: Eukaryota; Viridiplantae; Streptophyta; Magnoliopsida; Poales; Poaceae.